GACGAACGCUGGCGGCGUGCCUAACACAUGCAAGUCGAACGAGAUCCAUGGGAGCUUGCUCCCGGAAGAUCUAGUGGCGAACGGGUGAGUAACACGUGAGAAACCUGCCCUGGAGUGGGGAAUAACUCGGGGAAACUCGAGCUAAUACCGCAUACCCUCGGAUGGUCGCAUGGCCGACCGAGGAAAGAUUUAUCGCUCUAGGAGGGUCUCGCGGCCUAUCAGCUAGUUGGUGGGGUAACGGCCUACCAAGGCAACGACGGGUAGCUGGUUUGAGAGAACGAUCAGCCACACUGGGACUGAGACACGGCCCCAGACUCCUACGGGAGGCAGCAGUGGGGAAUCUUGCGCAAUGGGCGAAAGCCUGACGCAGCAACGCCGCGUGCGGGAUGACGGCCUUCGUGG
RNAcentral lists this ribosomal RNA (402 nucleotides) under uncultured bacterium. Its description in RNAcentral is "bacterial SSU rRNA". It matches the Rfam family "Bacterial small subunit ribosomal RNA", at positions 28 to 422 of the family's 1533-position model. The record is from RNAcentral.